AGGGAAUAUUGGACAAUGGGGGCAACCCUGAUCCAGCCAUGCCGCGUGAGUGAAGAAGGCCCUCGGGUUGUAAAGCUCUUUUGUCCGGAAAGAAAAGCUUCGGGUUAAUACCCCGGGGUUCUGACGGUACCGGAAGAAUAAGCACCGGCUAACUUCGUGCCAGCAGCCGCGGUAAUACGAAGGGUGCAAGCGUUACUCGGAAUUACUGGGCGUAAAGCGUGCGUAGGUGGUUGUUUAAGUCUGAUGUGAAAGCCCUGGGCUCAACCUGGGAAUGGCAUUGGAAACUGGGCAGCUAGAGUGCGGUAGAGGGUAGUGGAAUUCCCGGUGGAGCAGUGAAAUGCGUAGAGAUCGGGAGGAACAUCUGUGGCGAAGGCGACUGCCUGGACCAGCACUGACACUGAGGCACGAAAGCGUGGGGAGCAAACA
This 426-nucleotide ribosomal RNA is filed under the name uncultured bacterium. RNAcentral's name for it is "bacterial SSU rRNA". It matches the Rfam family "Bacterial small subunit ribosomal RNA", at positions 356 to 774 of the family's 1533-position model. The record is from RNAcentral.